GUGACGUCAUCUCGAGGUGCCCGCUCUCGCAGCCAUGGCCGCCGCGGCAGCAGGCUCCUGCUCCGAGCAUCCAGAGGGAUUCAGGAAGCCACCAGAGAGAAGGAAAGUGGAUUCGAGGGACCUGCCACCGUAAUUAGCCCAGUUUCGGUUAAUUGAGGGCCUUAGCCCCUCAUCUCCCAGGGCUGAAAUUCCGUGGGAAUGCCGUGACCUGAGACACGGAGCUGCAUCGUGGCAGGAUUUAUUUGUGACACCUCCUGCCCAGGCUCCCUCUGUGUGAUCCAGAGGGAUUCAGGAAGCCAUCAGCAAGGAGAAAGUGUGUGCGACGCCCUUGUCACUGUAAUUAACACAGUCGUGGUUAAUUAACACUGCCAGCACGAGGUGUGUGCUGGGUGUCACAGCCAAGGCCUCAGCCAUCCCGCCCUUCCCUGAUCCCACAGGGAAUUAUCCCGUGGCCGUGGGUGGAAGGAGAAGCUGCAGCAGCGUGGCAGAUUCCCUGUGGAACAACGAGGAGAAUUCAGCAACACCGAAUUCAGGGAAUUAAAAUGUGAACUCAUUGUUUUUCCAUA
Molecule: long non-coding RNA, 566 nt
Organism: Catharus ustulatus (Swainson's thrush)
Lineage: Eukaryota; Metazoa; Chordata; Aves; Passeriformes; Turdidae
Exons: 3
Source: RefSeq, a predicted model, not a curated record